RNAcentral lists this ribosomal RNA (777 nucleotides) under Triticum aestivum (bread wheat). RNAcentral's name for it is "partial small subunit ribosomal RNA". Lineage: Eukaryota; Viridiplantae; Streptophyta; Magnoliopsida; Poales; Poaceae. The record is from RNAcentral.
AUGGAAAAAAAAUUGCAACCUAACAGGACAGCAUUCUGUGCCAGGCUCACCUUUGUCUUGGGUGCAAGGUUGGCCAUGAGCGCAGCAGCAGCGUUGCCGGCGUUGUUCUCUUCAAUGAAGGAGAUGGUGGAGUUGAUGACCAGGAGAACGAUGAUUCCGACGAAAUCCUGCCAAUCCGGGGGCUUCCCACCACCGUUGGCCAGCGCGAUGGCCAUGAUGGCAGCCAUCUCCAUGACCCAGGACAGCGGAUUCCACAUGAAUCCCAGGAACUUGAGGACUUUGCUCUCCUGCAAAUCGAGACCCACAAGGAAGCAAUUGAGACAAGGCAAGAAAACAGGCACCAAACUUGCAUCAGAAACCAGUAGUGGCGCUCACCUUCUUCUCUUCGAGCUUGUUGAGACCAAAGAUUUCAACACGCUGCGCCCCCUCAUCGGAGGUGAGCCCCUGGCGCGUGCAUUUCAGCUGCUCGAACACCUCCUCGAUGGGGAUGUUCUCCUGCAAAUAGAAACACAAGCGAAACAAACCAUUGAUGAGAAACCAAGAUCAUGCGAUGAUUUGAGGUGUGACCCCACUCAGUCAGCGACAGCUAGAACAGACAAAUCAAACAGCAAACACAGCUCGUUGUACAGAACAGUAGCUACCCCGUCGUGGGCCCCACGGGCCAGCCUCUACCAGACAAAGCUGGGGUCAGAACAUCCGAAGAGGGAAGAGUCCAAGCGGGCAUCCAUCAACGAAGGAGGCGUGGGGCCAAUGAUUGGGACCCGUACGGCCGUCUGA